GCUGCUCAAAUCUUUACACACCUCUCCGUGGUGAGCAGCAGGCAACGGUCUUAUGACUGGCUGAGAUGUGAAG
Molecule: ribozyme, 73 nt
Filed under: unclassified sequences
Description: HDV ribozyme from F. prausnitzii
Rfam family: HDV ribozyme from F. prausnitzii
Source: RNAcentral